This 106-nucleotide ribosomal RNA is filed under the name Danio rerio (zebrafish). Lineage: Eukaryota; Metazoa; Chordata; Actinopteri; Cypriniformes; Danionidae. The record is from RNAcentral.
UCAAGCUGCGAAGGAGAAACAUGGUCACCCACAGAAGCUAAGCAGGGCUGCGCCUGGUCAGUACCUGGAUGGGAGAGCACACAGGAAAGCUAGGUUGCUGCCGGAA